GUUAGAAUUGCAGGCUAUUAGGCAUAUAACGGCGUAGUGGUUCGUGUAAACCAUAGUUGGUGGAGGAUGAGGAAGAAAGGUUAAAAGGAACAUAGUACAAUGUAUGGUUGAAAGCAUUUGAUGAAGUAACUAAGAUUAAUGAAUUGGUCCAUUCAACGACUUCGUCCAGAAACCGAUGGUUUUACGAUUGGUUCAUGGCUAAACAAUUAAAACAUAUAACUUGGCAUGGGUAUUUUUACUUUUUUUUUU
Molecule: non-coding RNA, 249 nt
Organism: Cinara cedri
Lineage: Eukaryota; Metazoa; Arthropoda; Insecta; Hemiptera; Aphididae
Source: the annotation of a GenBank genome assembly